This 403-nucleotide ribosomal RNA is filed under the name uncultured bacterium. RNAcentral describes it as "bacterial SSU rRNA". It matches the Rfam family "Bacterial small subunit ribosomal RNA", at positions 917 to 1344 of the family's 1533-position model. The record is from RNAcentral.
GGGCCCGCACAAGCGGUGGAGUAUGUGGUUUAAUUCGAUGCAACGCGAAGAACCUUACCAGGGUUUGACAUCCUGCGAAUCUCUUGGAAACGAGAGAGUGCCUUCGGGAACGCAGUGACAGGUGGUGCAUGGCUGUCGUCAGCUCGUGUCGUGAGAUGUUGGGUUAAGUCCCGCAACGAGCGCAACCCACGUCUUUAGUUGCCAGCAUUUAGUUGGGCACUCUAGAGAGACUGCCGGUGAUAAACCGGAGGAAGGCGGGGAUGACGUCAAGUCCUCAUGGCCCUUACACGCGGGGCUACACACGUGCUACAAUGGCAGUGACAAUGGGAUAAUCCCAAAAGCUGUCUCAGUUCAGAUUGUCCUCUGCAACUCGAGGGCAUGAAGUUGGAAUCGCUAGUAAUCG